UUUACUUAGAUUUUACUUCUCUUGAAUAAUAUCCAUUUUCUUUUCUUUACCUCUCUCUCUUUUUGUUAUUUUCAAGUAGUUACAUGAAAGAGCAGAAUAAAGAAUUAAUCUAAUAUGCUGCAUAUAAAUAUAUAUCAUGCAAACAGCAUUUUCAUUAUGCCCAAUGAUUCAUAGCUUAUCACAAGUUAUUUUGAAUUAGAGAAUUGAGGCAUAAACUUGUGUAUUUCAUGGUUAUGCAUUAUACAGGCAAAAGUGAACUUCAAUUUAAUCAUACCAUGAAAUAAUUAUCAUUAGCAUGAGAAUGAAGCAUGAUAUCAAGAAGAUUAGCAAUUAAAUAUUUGAUCAUGCUACCAUAUAUUUUCAGACUAUUAAUUUUGCUCAACUAACUCACAAGAGAAGGGUUUAGAUUACCAAUGCAUUUAGC
RNAcentral lists this long non-coding RNA (424 nucleotides) under Phoenix dactylifera (date palm). Its description in RNAcentral is "long non-coding RNA (PDAC_LNC021624)". Lineage: Eukaryota; Viridiplantae; Streptophyta; Magnoliopsida; Arecales; Arecaceae. The record is from RNAcentral.